Mytilus californianus (California mussel) is the source of this 650-nucleotide long non-coding RNA. RefSeq lists it as uncharacterized. The record is from RefSeq and is a predicted model, not a curated record. The transcript is spliced from 4 exons. NCBI's taxonomy places the organism in Eukaryota, Metazoa, Mollusca, Bivalvia, Mytilida, Mytilidae.
UUCAGAAUAAAUUUUCUCAUAUUAAUAGCAUCGAUAUGUUUACAUGGAUGAUAAUAAAGAAAGACGAUAUUUACCAAAUUUUUUUGCUGAAUUUUUAUUUGAAAGAUAGAAAAAGCACACAGGAUUUAAGGUCAACAGGUUGAGCACACAUGAUUAAAGGUCAACAUGUUACAACGCGAUUGCUGGUUGGCUACAGGCACAUGUUUUGUAAGAAGUUUUCUUUUUGGGGGCAAUUUGAUUGGGUUGUGUACGGCGAACAUGGUUAUUUAACAGAUGGCAAGGCAGCCAGUAGAAUUCAAGUUUACAACUGCAUAACCGUACAAAGCUUGUAGAGAACCCGGAAGACAUAUUCUUCUCAGCAUAUAAAAGAAGAGCGAAAGGAUAUUUUCUUGGAUAGGACAACCGACGACCACAAAGAUGGUGAAUUGCAAACUGACCAUCUGUGUCGUAGCAAUUUUCAUUGGAGUGACGCAUGCUCCUGUUCAUGUUAGCUGUCAUAAAUUUCCACCACAACAGGGAAAAGGAACACCCGUUGGGAUGAGACUAUUGCCUAUUCCUGUACCUAAACCGUUUCCUGUUAAAGGACGUUCUGAUGAAAGACCGAUCGUUUUAUUGGUCCACGACGAAGGAUUUGAUAAUGUAUUUGGUGG